RNAcentral lists this ribosomal RNA (253 nucleotides) under uncultured bacterium. Its description in RNAcentral is "partial 16S ribosomal RNA". It matches the Rfam family "Bacterial small subunit ribosomal RNA", at positions 524 to 776 of the family's 1533-position model. The record is from RNAcentral.
UACGAAGGGGGCUAGCGUUGCUCGGAAUCACUGGGCGUAAAGGGCGCGUAGGCGGAUCUUUAAGUCGGGGGUGAAAGCCCGAGGCUCAACCUCGGAACUGCCUUCGAUACUGCGGGUCUCGAGUCCGGGAGAGGUGAGUGGAAUUCCUAGUGUAGAGGUGAAAUUCGUAGAUAUUAGGAAGAACACCAGUGGCGAAGGCGGCUCACUGGCCCGGUACUGACGCUGAGGCGCGAAAGCGUGGGGAGCAAACAGG